GGGUUGUGAGGUUAAGCGACUAAGCGUACACGGUGGAUGCCCUGGCAGUCAGAGGCGAUGAAGGACGUGCUAAUCUGCGAUAAGCGUCGGUAAGGUGAUAUGAACCAUUAUAACCGGCGAUUUCCGAAUGGGGAAACCCAGUGUGAUUCGUCACACUAUCAUUAACUGAAUCCAUAGGUUAAUGAGGCGAACCGGGGGAACUGAAACAUCUAAGUACCCCGAGGAAAAGAAAUCAACCGAGAUUCCCCCAGUAGCGGCGAGCGAACGGGGAGCAGCCCAGAGCCUGAAUCAGUGUGUGUGUUAGUGGAAGCGUCUGGAAAGGCGUGCGAUACAGGGUGACAGCCCCGUACACAAAAAUGCACAUAUUGUGAGCUCGAUGAGUAGGGCGGGACACGUGGUAUCCUGUCUGAAUAUGGGGGGACCAUCCUCCAAGGCUAAAUACUCCUGACUGACCGAUAGUGAACCAGUACCGUGAGGGAAAGGCGAAAAGAACCCCGGCGAGGGGAGUGAAAAAGAACCUGAAACCGUGUACGUACAAGCAGUGGGAGCACGCUUAGGCGUGUGACUGCGUACCUUUUGUAUAAUGGGUCAGCGACUUAUAUUCUGUAGCAAGGUUAACCGAAUAGGGGAGCCGAAGGGAAACCGAGUCUUAACUGGGCGUUAAGUUGCAGGGUAUAGACCCGAAACCCGGUGAUCUAGCCAUGGGCAGGUUGAAGGUUGGGUAACACUAACUGGAGGACCGAACCGACUAAUGUUGAAAAAUUAGCGGAUGACUUGUGGCUGGGGGUGAAAGGCCAAUCAAACCGGGAGAUAGCUGGUUCUCCCCGAAAGCUAUUUAGGUAGCGCCUCGUGAAUUCAUCUCCGGGGGUAGAGCACUGUUUCGGCAAGGGGGUCAUCCCGACUUACCAACCCGAUGCAAACUGCGAAUACCGGAGAAUGUUAUCACGGGAGACACACGGCGGGUGCUAACGUCCGUCGUGAAGAGGGAAACAACCCAGACCGCCAGCUAAGGUCCCAAAGUCAUGGUUAAGUGGGAAACGAUGUGGGAAGGCCCAGACAGCCAGGAUGUUGGCUUAGAAGCAGCCAUCAUUUAAAGAAAGCGUAAUAGCUCACUGGUCGAGUCGGCCUGCGCGGAAGAUGUAACGGGGCUAAACCAUGCACCGAAGCUGCGGCAGCGACGCUGAUGCGUUGUUGGGUAGGGGAGCGUUCUGUAAGCCUGUGAAGGUGUGCUGUGAGGUAUGCUGGAGGUAUCAGAAGUGCGAAUGCUGACAUAAGUAACGAUAAAGCGGGUGAAAAGCCCGCUCGCCGGAAGACCAAGGGUUCCUGUCCAACGUUAAUCGGGGCAGGGUGAGUCGACCCCUAAGGCGAGGCCGAAAGGCGUAGUCGAUGGGAAACAGGUUAAUAUUCCUGUACUUGGUGUUACUGCGAAGGGGGGACGGAGAAGGCUAUGUUGGCCGGGCGACGGUUGUCCCGGUUUAAGCGUGUAGGCUGGUUUUCCAGGCAAAUCCGGAAAACUAAGGCUGAGGCGUGAUGACGAGGCACUACGGUGCUGAAGCAACAAAUGCCCUGCUUCCAGGAAAAGCCUCUAAGCAUCAGGUAACAUCAAAUCGUACCCCAAACCGACACAGGUGGUCAGGUAGAGAAUACCAAGGCGCUUGAGAGAACUCGGGUGAAGGAACUAGGCAAAAUGGUGCCGUAACUUCGGGAGAAGGCACGCUGAUAUGUAGGUGAAGUCCCUCGCGGAUGGAGCUGAAAUCAGUCGAAGAUACCAGCUGGCUGCAACUGUUUAUUAAAAACACAGCACUGUGCAAACACGAAAGUGGACGUAUACGGUGUGACGCCUGCCCGGUGCCGGAAGGUUAAUUGAUGGGGUCAGCGCAAGCGAAGCUCUUGAUCGAAGCCCCGGUAAACGGCGGCCGUAACUAUAACGGUCCUAAGGUAGCGAAAUUCCUUGUCGGGUAAGUUCCGACCUGCACGAAUGGCGUAAUGAUGGCCAGGCUGUCUCCACCCGAGACUCAGUGAAAUUGAA
Molecule: ribosomal RNA, 2029 nt
Filed under: Shigella flexneri
Lineage: Bacteria; Pseudomonadati; Pseudomonadota; Gammaproteobacteria; Enterobacterales; Enterobacteriaceae
Description: partial 23S ribosomal RNA
Rfam family: Bacterial large subunit ribosomal RNA
Source: RNAcentral